This is a long non-coding RNA of Diabrotica virgifera virgifera (western corn rootworm), 168 nucleotides long. RefSeq lists it as uncharacterized. The record is from RefSeq and is a predicted model, not a curated record. The transcript is spliced from 2 exons. NCBI's taxonomy places the organism in Eukaryota, Metazoa, Arthropoda, Insecta, Coleoptera, Chrysomelidae.
CUUACCAUAAUCUUAUUCCAGGGUUAGGCGUAACUGAGAGCUCUAUUUUAAGAUCUUGUUGCAAGCAUUUUUGGAACUGCAACUCCAGGUGCUACUUUUCGAUGACGAAGAAGUCAAAGAACUGUCCGAACCAUAUCGCUUGGAUCCAUUCUUGGUACCAACUUUGAG